Molecule: ribosomal RNA, 464 nt
Filed under: uncultured bacterium
Lineage: Bacteria
Description: bacterial SSU rRNA
Rfam family: Bacterial small subunit ribosomal RNA
Source: RNAcentral
GGACCCGCACAAGCAGUGGAGUAUGUGGUUUAAUUCGAAGCAACGCGAAGAACCUUACCAAGGCUUGACAUAGUACUGAAGUUAGCGGAAACGUUAACGUCCUUCGGGACAGUAUUACAGGUGGUGCAUGGUUGUCGUCAGCUCGUGUCGUGAGAUGUUGGGUUAAGUCCCGCAACGAGCGCAACCCUUGUUGUUAGUUGCCAUCAGGUUAAGCUGGGCACUCUAAUGAAACUGCCGGUGACAAAUCGGAGGAAGGUGGGGACGACGUCAAAUCAUCAUGCCCCUUAUGUCUUGGGCUACACACGUACUACAAUGGCUAUUACAGCAGGCAGCGAAAGAGUAAUCUGGAGCAAAUCCAAAAAAAUAGUCUCAGUUCGGAUUGUGGGCUGCAACUCGCCCACAUGAAGUCGGAAUUGCUAGUAAUUGCAGGUCAGCAUACUGCAGUGAAUACGUUCCCGGGUCUU